Molecule: ribosomal RNA, 254 nt
Filed under: uncultured bacterium
Lineage: Bacteria
Description: partial 16S ribosomal RNA
Rfam family: Bacterial small subunit ribosomal RNA
Source: RNAcentral
UACGGAGGGAGCGAGCGUUGUCCGGAUUCAUUGGGCGUAAAGAGCUCGUAGGCGGCUUGAUAAGUCGGAUGUGAAACCUACAGGCUCAACCUGGAGUCGCCAUCCGAUACUGUCAUAGCUAGAGUCCGGUAGGGGCCCACGGAACUCCUGGUGUAGCGGUGAAAUGCGCAGAUAUCAGGAAGAACACCAGUGGCGAAGGCGGUGGGCUGGGCCGGUACUGACGCUGAGGAGCGAAAGCGUGGGGAGCGAACAGG